RNAcentral lists this ribosomal RNA (467 nucleotides) under uncultured bacterium. RNAcentral describes it as "partial 16S ribosomal RNA". It matches the Rfam family "Bacterial small subunit ribosomal RNA", at positions 28 to 507 of the family's 1533-position model. The record is from RNAcentral.
GACGAACGCCGGCGGCGUGCUUAACACAUGCAAGUCGAACGGAAAGGCCUCUUUCGGGGGGUACUCGAGUGGCGAACGGGUGAGUAACACGUGAGUAACCUGCCCUUGACUUUGGGAUAACUUCAGGAAACUGGGGCUAAUACCGGAUAGGAGCUCCUGCUGCAUGGUGGGGGUUGGAAAGUUUCGGCGGUUGGGGAUGGACUCGCGGCUUAUCAGCUUGUUGGUGGGGUAGUGGCUUACCAAGGCUUUGACGGGUAGCCGGCCUGAGAGGGUGACCGGCCACAUUGGGACUGAGAUACGGCCCAGACUCCUACGGGAGGCAGCAGUGGGGAAGAUUGCACAAUGGGUGGAAGCCUGAUGCAGCAACGCCGUGUGCGGGAUGACGGCCUUCGGGUUGUAAACCGCUUUCGCUCAUGACGAAGCUUUGUGUGACGGUAGUGGGUAAAGAAGCACCGGCUAACUACGUG